UAGGGAAUCUUCCACAAUGGACGCAAGUCUGAUGGAGCAACGCCGCGUGAGUGAAGAAGGUUUUCGGACCGUAAAGCUCUGUUGUUGGUGAAGAAGGAUAGAGGUAGUAACUGGCCUUUAUUUGACGGUAAUCAACCAGAAAGUCACGGCUAACUACGUGCCAGCAGCCGCGGUAAUACGUAGGUGGCAAGCGUUGUCCGGAUUUAUUGGGCGUAAAGCGAGCGCAGGCGGAAGAAUAAGUCUGAUGUGAAAGCCCUCGGCUUAACCGAGGAAUUGCAUCGGAAACUGUUUUUCUUGAGUGCAGAAGAGGAGAGUAGAACUC
RNAcentral lists this ribosomal RNA (322 nucleotides) under uncultured bacterium. RNAcentral's name for it is "partial 16S ribosomal RNA". It matches the Rfam family "Bacterial small subunit ribosomal RNA", at positions 355 to 669 of the family's 1533-position model. The record is from RNAcentral.